Molecule: long non-coding RNA, 5373 nt
Filed under: Bemisia tabaci
Lineage: Eukaryota; Metazoa; Arthropoda; Insecta; Hemiptera; Aleyrodidae
Description: lncRNA ENSSSA3NGG005392
Source: RNAcentral
UCUGUAAUAUUUUUCGUAAGUGUUUUAAAUAAUAUUUUCAUGAAGAUGAAUAGGUAAAUAAUUUUAAAUCUCAUUUAUGGAUCCAUUUAUCAUUUUUCACGGACAGAUGAUAUAGCGUUCAUGGUUGAUGGUAGAAGGAAACAAAUAUGAUGGUAAAUGCUCACGGAUCACGGCUAAGUGACGUGCUAGGAUUUUCAAAUUCUGAAAUCAAACUUUGGAACACAGGAACUACCAUUGCCCCUUUUGAUCAGUCAUUCUACUUAAGUCUGGGUCUCUACGUCGGUGGAGUGCGGGAUUUUGACGAAGGAGCCUCAAGUAACGGUUAUAUCAAGCCAUGGUCAAACACGGACCCCAGGGCAAUGCUGACGUUUUGGAACCGAAGGAACGAGUGGCAGAGAACUUGGGAGGGAGACUCAACUUUUGUGAUCAAGUCGAUAAAAGUUACAGCCCUUUAGAAUCCCCCCUCCAGCUGAACGGUGUCAAUUUCCCCGGUGCCCCUGUUUUCUCCAAAGGUGGCGAUUCGUAUAAAAAGACAGAACUAGGGUUCCUACAUUUAAUUGUAUGUAAAACAAUCGAUACAUAUCGAGGCAGACCACCAUUCUUAGAAUCUAUUGAUGGAAAUGGAGGAGAAAAACUCCCAACUCAAAAGAAUAGCCGCUGCUCCACAUCCCCGUUUUAUGGCAUCAGACCGCCACACAGUGUAUCGAGUCAUGAGAGAGGUCGGAUAAAAUUUUGAAACUUCAAAAGCUUAAAACUCCGUUUAUACAAAACUUUGAGGCUUAUAAGUGGUUCUAUUGGUUUCAUCGUGAAUUUGUCUUUUACAAGCAUCCGUUGAAAUUUAAAAUGUGAUGACAUAAACAUCAACAUUUGCAGUUUUAGUAAAAUAUUUCAUGUCCGACCUCUCUGAUUGGCUCGAUCCACUGUGCGCCAGAGAAAAAUCCAUGAGAGUAGGUUUUUCAACAGGAAAGGGGAAAAUGCGAAACAGAAUAGGAAACCAAAAUUAUAAAAGUGAACGAUGAUAUGAUAGAAGAGGAAGAAACAAUAUACAGACAUAUUUCUCUUACUUUCAACAUUUAACUGUGAUAAAAUGAUCGUGAUAUCAAUGCAACCAUUCCUGCUCAAAGACUGCCCAAGUUGACUAUACGAAAAGAUGAAGGCGCUCGACCUUAUAAUUACUUCCAUCUACGUGUUUUAUGAGAUGUUUUGUAUUUUGGCUUUCGCACACUAAGUAAAGGAUAAUAUUACAUCUUUCUCCACAUGACUAUUGAAUCUCUUUCAUUCUGCCAGGAUAAUCAAACAUUUUGAGCGUUCACCACGUUAGUAGUGGACGCUCUUUCCGCCCGUUUUGCAGCGUGUAUGUUACUAAUGGAUCCAUUGGUAAUAGCCUGCACUGCUUUAUGGGAAUCGGCGCCAUUUUUCGUGGCGGGUAGCAAUUCCUAGUUUCUCAAUUGUAUUUAUGUACCAUUUCUACCUUUUUCUCCUAUUUUGUUCAUUUUAUGUAAUGCAAGUAGGCUUGUCUUUGAGAAUUUAUUGUCUCUACGUUUUAAAACACUGCAACGUACUUUUAAUUAAUGACUCUUUCGAGCAUCCUUCAAAUUUUUAGUCGUCGGAGAUCUAGAAAAAUUGUUGGGUACCAAGUACCCCUUUACAACAUGACCCCUAUAUUUUACUCUAUGAUGACAAGACAUUCCUUAUAUGUGUAUGUUUCCUAGGUUACGCUCCACGUCUAGCUCAACAGCGUCUUGCAGCGCUCUCUUCCGUCCGCGCAAAACAACUUUUACAUUUUAACAUUGAAGUUUUUUUCUUUUCCCCCGCUAGAUCGAACUGCUGUAAAUCUAAUUACAAUGCGUUGUUGGUGAUCAUAGGAGAAUUUGUGAAUUUGCAGUGUAAUAUUUUCUUUUUCCCGUCGCCAAUCGCCGACGGGACGGUGUUUGACGCACUGCAUUAAGUAUUCCCACAGUCUCAUAAGCGCUAACAUUAAUUUUUUAAUAUAAAAAAAAACGAAUAAAUUGACGAGGUGUUACGGUGAACGCUCUCCAACGUCUUAACGUUGGAACCGUCGUCUUGUUUACUUUUGCCUCUAUCUCUGGAAAUAAAAUUACAAUACAAAUCAAAGGAAUUGAAAAUCACAAAAUAAACCCCAGAGCAAAAUCCCGAACAAAAUGUAUGAUAACCAUGUUUAAGAACCUAUACUUAUUCAAAACUCAGAAAAAUGUAUCGAGCUUCAAUUUUGUGAUUUAAGCAUGUGGUUUGUGUAAAAAUUACAUUCACGGCAACAACCAUAUUGUGCUUCCAAGGUAACAUUAUGAAAAAUAUACGCUGCAAACUUUUAAUUUUUAAAGUCCUCUGUAUCAGCGGGUUCAUUUAUCAUAAACUGUGGAAUUUGUAUCUGGUUGUAAUUGAAAAUAAAUUUUCUAGUCAAAUAUUCUUUUAAAUUCGAAAUAACUCAAACCAGUCGCCCAUUUAUCGAUUUCUAGACUUUCUUAUACAUAUAUUCAGAUCUAAUCAAUGCAUCGAAAUGCGCUAAAACGCUGGGCGAAAUUCCACCCAUCCCUUUUAACAGCUCACAACGUUCUAAUUUGAGUGUGCCGCAGUGGCGAGGCGUGAUAAUCGACCAUCGAUUUUAUCCAAUUUGAAGCUAUAGGAAAGAAUCGAUUAUUAUGGUGUUCGUUGCGAACGCACUGAUAUCGAUCUUUUUUCAUAGGUUUGAAUGGCAUAUCAAUCGAUACAUCGCGAAGUGUCACUGGCGUGCCGGUAAUUACAGCCGAAUAAUUGUACAUUUUCGACUUAUAUAAUUACAUCAUAAAAAAAUUUGUUUCUGUCGCAUCUGAGCAGACAUGUUCAUUCUUUUGUACCUAAUAAAUUUAAUUUGAUGAGGUACGGCUUUAGAACGAUUCAUCUUAUUCGAUGGGCACAAACCUUCCUCAAGAUCUACUCCAGUGAGUCAACUCUUUUCGAAUACAUGCAGUAUUACAAUUUUCCUUUUUGAGUAGAAUUAAAUUCUACAAUUUAGCCCCUACCUCUUACAUUCGAAUCGAUGCAUUGUUGACUUUGACUGGUUCCUUCUUUUUGAAGUCUUUUUUAUUAGUUAUUUCCCGUCCGUCAAAAUUGGUCCGAAAGUUGCAAGAUUUUUGUCUGGGCUCAAUUAUAGACUCUAAUAAAAUGAAUCAUUUUCAUUUUUUGCUCAAAGGAAUACAGAGGUUCGGUUCAAAAAUUUCGUUUCUAAAACACGUAACGAAUUAAAUACGAUUAUUUACUUCCAUUUAUAGAACCUAUGUUUCAAUUAGUUAGCAUCACUUUACUCUUGUUCGAAGAUGACUUCGCCGAGCAAAAAUAUGAAAAGUAAUAAUAUGACAAAAGAAACUAUUAAUAUCUGUAUCUUUAUAUUUCUUUAUGAUGACAAGCGGGGAAAACCGGUUGAAUCUUCGCGAACAGACAGCGUCCAUUGGCCGAAUUCUUUGCAUCCUUCUAUCCCUCGCGACCUAUUCUCUCAUCCUGCAAUUUACCUGCAGGCUACAGUUGCCAUCUCUAAUAUCUUUUCAUGUUAAGAGCCUCAGUUGUUUUGUGCUCCGAUAGAAUGCACUCGUCCGUUUUUCCCAACUUGUUGGCCCUAUUAUUUUUCGCGAUUCUUGUCAACGCAGGUAAUUUUUUUUCCUUUUACAUUUGAAUUAUGAGUCUCCAGCUCGGUAAAUUAUUUUACAUAGAAUUUUAACUUUUUCCUUCAAUUGAGUUACGGAAAAAUGUUUAGUUUUUCUACAAGACGAGGUUGUCUUGAAAUCUCAGCAUGUGCUCUUUUAAAAGUGCUGUAUGUAAAAAUUUGGUGGAGGGACAGAAAAUCAUAUUUCGAUGGGUUUGCGUAUCAGUCAUCUAAUAGAGUGUCGAAAAAAUUAUGAGAUCUGCUCAAUGCAAAAUUUACUCCCUAAUGCGAAAGAUCAUUGUUCUAAAAACAUUAUCGAUGACGUCAUCAAUCGAGAUUAAACGUAUAAUGAUUUCUAUAUCUUGGACGUAGCGACCUAUUUUCUAUCGGGUCUCAAUUUCAAUUGCUAACUUUUAAGACAGGGCUCUAUGAUAUGACUAACCGACCCAUUAGAAAGAUUUUCAACUUUUUCUUUUUUUCAAAUAAUGUGACCUUCAUUUCAGUUGCAAAUGAAGCAGGAAGAAUUAUUCCUGACUUAAAAAAGAAAAGAAAGUGCAUAUUAUAUCAGUAAAAAAUAGAGAGAAUAGUAGAAUACUUUCGCCGUCCAAAAUUGUAUUUUCAACACGAUUGUUAUCGAUGCAUGAUUAUUAAAGUCAAAUUGAAACUUUUCGACAAAUUUGGCUGUGUCACUCAGCCCCCAAGUAUUAUUUUGCAACGAAAAAAUUAGAGUAGGUGAAAUUGCGAUAUUUUCCUAUCUUGUCGAAUUAUUGUCGAUCUUAAACGGAUUAAAAAAAUAAGCAGUUUUAAAAGGAGAAAAAUUACAAUUUAUUUAAAUUAUAUAGCAAUAUAUUUCCACACUAGGAGUCUUUUCAAUUAUUAGAAUAACCUACACAACACUUCGAUGCAGUUCUAUGGCAAUAAUUUAACUGUGUAAUCACAAUUUACUAUAAACUGAGCUACUUCGUGCGGAGAAGUAGAGAGAGCAAAAAUUCAUGGUCCAACGACCUCUUUGAGGCUGUGCAAUCAAUUACCUGAAGGUUUUCAUUUAUUUUAUUUUUCUUUCUCUGGUUUAUAGAUGGGGAAAAUGGAACAUCUAUCAAAAGCUCUAAAAAAGAAAACAGAGGUCUUUUAACCUUAAAGACAGGUUUGGACGGUGAGCGGACCUCAGGACUGGCAUUGGGGUCCGUCGUCAGCUUGCUUGAUCCACUAAACGUAGCGCAUAAACCCGUAUUAAAACCAUCCCCCCCAAACAGUCAGCCCCCUUUGGGAAUCGCGAUUGCAACGUAUCAACCCUCUGGUCCCAUCAGUCAAGGAACGUAUCAACCUGUUGGCCCAGCCAAUCAAGCAACAUAUCAGCCAUCUGGUCCAAUCAAUCAAGGAGCAUAUCAGCCCUCCGGUCCAAUCAAUCAAGGAACUUAUCAACCCUCUGGUCCAAUCAAUCAAGGAACUUAUCAACCCUCUGGUCCAAUCAAUCAAGGAACGUAUCAGCCCUCUGGGCCAAUCAAUCAAGAACGUAUCAACCCUCUGGUCCAAUCAAUCAAGGAACGUAUCAACCCUCUGGUUCAGCCAAUCAAGGGACAUAUCAACCCUCUGGUUCAGCCAAUCAAGGAACGUAUCAACCUUCUGGUUCAGUUGAUCAAGGGACUUAUCAACCUUCCGGUUCAGUCAAUCAAGGGACGUAUCAACCUCCAGGUUCAGUCAAUCAAGAAACGUAUCAACCUGUUGCUCCAAUUAAU